GCAGCCGCGGUAAUACGUAGGUGGCAAGCGUUAUCCGGAUUUACUGGGUGUAAAGGGUGUGUAGGCGGGAAUGCAAGUCAGAUGUGAAAAUUAUGGGCUCAACCCAUAACCUGCAUUUGAAACUGCAUUUCUUGAGUGUCGGAGAGGUAAAUGGAAUUCCCAGUGUAGCGGUGAAAUGCGCAGAGAUUGGGAGGAACAUCGGUGGCGAAGGCGAUUUACUGGACGACAACUGACGCUGAAACACGAAAGCGUGGGGAGCAAACAGGAUUAGAUACCCC
RNAcentral lists this ribosomal RNA (278 nucleotides) under uncultured Akkermansia sp. RNAcentral describes it as "partial 16S ribosomal RNA". It matches the Rfam family "Bacterial small subunit ribosomal RNA", at positions 511 to 788 of the family's 1533-position model. The record is from RNAcentral. Lineage: Bacteria; Pseudomonadati; Verrucomicrobiota; Verrucomicrobiia; Verrucomicrobiales; Akkermansiaceae.